CAGUGUCCCCCAAGAACACUUUGCCCUCACUAUUUGCAGUGCCAGAAUGAAAACACGCUGUGGUCUGUCUGGCCCAGCAAACCCUGCCGAGCCUUGUAGAAGUCCUGUCCUUCCCUAUAGGCUCCUUUGUGCCUUGGCACAGAGAGCAUGAAAACGCACUUUGUUCCAGCCUGGGGGUGACCCUGCCGUGCGACAUCAGGGAUUGAGCUGGAGCUUUGGCCACAGCCUGGGGUGGCCACCAUCGCCCAUAACUGUGGUAUUCUUUCAGACGUAACGGAAACCACCACACUCAGUGUGUGAGUAAUUAGGAACAGGGAACUUGUGUCCCUCCCUCUCUGCAGUGCUCGUGACAAAUAGUGAGGGGGAGUAUUUUAAUUUGAUUCUUCAAAUGAUAAAAAUUCAGUUUCGUGUUGUGCCCUAUCCUUGUGGUUGGUGAACCACCUUUACCGCCCUGGAGUGUCCAUUUUUGUGCAUGGUUGGAAGUCUCAAAAAACAAAAUUUCAGAAUUUGACCCCAGUGGGACCCACUUGAUCACCCACGUUCUUAAAACACUGCAGUGGUAGAAUGCCUGGUAGACAGAGCUGAUGAUAUGAUUUUCAUUAAAUAUAUCUUUGAUUGUA
Vidua chalybeata is the source of this 620-nucleotide long non-coding RNA. RefSeq lists it as uncharacterized. The record is from RefSeq and is a predicted model, not a curated record. The transcript has 2 exons. Lineage: Eukaryota; Metazoa; Chordata; Aves; Passeriformes; Viduidae.